Molecule: transfer RNA, 72 nt
Filed under: marine eukaryotic metagenome
Rfam family: tRNA
About the family: Transfer RNA (tRNA) molecules are approximately 80 nucleotides in length. Their secondary structure includes four short double-helical elements and three loops (D, anti-codon, and T loops). Further hydrogen bonds mediate the characteristic L-shaped molecular structure. tRNAs have two regions of fundamental functional importance: the anti-codon, which is responsible for specific mRNA codon recognition, and the 3' end, to which the tRNAs corresponding amino acid is attached (by aminoacyl-tRNA synthetases). tRNAs cope with the degeneracy of the genetic code in two manners: having more than one tRNA (with a specific anti-codon) for a particular amino acid; and 'wobble' base-pairing, i.e. permitting non-standard base-pairing at the 3rd anti-codon position.
Source: RNAcentral
GCGAGGUAGCUCAGUCGGUCAGAGCGAUGGAUUCAUAACCCAUAGGUCGAGAGUUCAAGUCUCUCUCUCGCC